ACGUUCGGUUGAGAUAAGUGCUGAAAGCAUCUAAGUACGAAGCUUGCCUCAAGAUUAGAUCUCAUUAUAAGGGUGGUUAUAGACGAUGACCUUGAUAGGCUACAGGUGUAAAGGCGGUGACGUCAUAGCCGAGUAGUACUAAUUGCCCGAAAGUUUUUGC
This 160-nucleotide ribosomal RNA is filed under the name Porphyromonadaceae bacterium. RNAcentral describes it as "partial 23S ribosomal RNA". It matches the Rfam family "Bacterial large subunit ribosomal RNA", at positions 2751 to 2925 of the family's 2925-position model. The record is from RNAcentral. Lineage: Bacteria; Pseudomonadati; Bacteroidota; Bacteroidia; Bacteroidales; Porphyromonadaceae.